AUUGAACGCUGGCGGCAUGCCUAACACAUGCAAGUCGAACGGCAGCACGGCAGUAGCAAUACUGUGGGUGGCGAGUGGCGGACGGGUGAGGAAUACGUCGGAAUCUGCCCAGUCGUGGGGGAUAACUAGCCGAAAGGUUAGCUAAUACCGCAUACGACCGAGAGGUGAAAGCGGGGGACCGCAAGGCCUCGCGCGAUUGGAUGAGCCGACGUCGGAUUAGCUAGUUGGAGGGGUAAAGGCCCACCAAGGCGACGAUCCGUAGCUGGUCUGAGAGGAUGAUCAGCCACACUGGAACUGAGACACGGUCCAGACUCCUACGGGAGGCAGCAGUGGGGAAUAUUGGACAAUGGGCGCAAGCCUGAUCCAGCAAUGCCGCGUGUGUGAAGAAGGCCUCGGUUGUAAGCGACUUUAUUCUAGGAACGAAAGACGUUAGGAGUUAA
RNAcentral lists this ribosomal RNA (440 nucleotides) under uncultured bacterium. RNAcentral describes it as "bacterial SSU rRNA". It matches the Rfam family "Bacterial small subunit ribosomal RNA", at positions 29 to 465 of the family's 1533-position model. The record is from RNAcentral.